UUGGUACUCCCUCCGUUCCAAAAUUCUUGUCUUAAAUUAGUCUAGAUACGAAUGUAUCUUGUCUUAAAUUUAUCUAAAUACGGAUGUAUUAAAUCACAUUUUAGUAUUAGAUACAUCCGUAUCUAGACUAAUUUAAGACAAGAAUUUUGGAACGGAGGAAGUACUAA
Non-coding RNA from Triticum aestivum (bread wheat), 167 nucleotides. Lineage: Eukaryota; Viridiplantae; Streptophyta; Magnoliopsida; Poales; Poaceae. The record is from Rfam.